This 50-nucleotide transfer RNA is filed under the name Anolis chrysolepis (goldenscale Anole). RNAcentral's name for it is "partial tRNA-Trp". Lineage: Eukaryota; Metazoa; Chordata; Lepidosauria; Squamata; Anolidae. The record is from RNAcentral.
AAACUUAGGUUAACAUAAANCCAAAGGCCUUCAAAGCCUUUAAUAAGGAC